RNAcentral lists this ribosomal RNA (513 nucleotides) under uncultured delta proteobacterium. Its description in RNAcentral is "partial 16S ribosomal RNA". Lineage: Bacteria; Deltaproteobacteria. The record is from RNAcentral.
GUAUUACCGCGGCUGCUGGCACGGAGUUAGCCGGUGCUUCCUUNGAGGGUACCGUCAGCACCAUUACUGGCAUUUCUUCCCCUCUGACAGAAGUUUACGACCCAAAGGCCUUCAUCCUUCACGCGGCGUUGCUGCGUCAGGGUUUCCCCCAUUGCGCAUAAUUCCCCACUGCUGCCUCCCGUAGGAGUCUGGACCGUGUCUCACUUCCAGNGUGGCUGAUCAUCCUCUCAGACCAGCUAUCCAUCGUGGCCUUGGUAGGCCGNUNCCCCACCAACUAGNUAAUGGACCGCGGACCCAUCCUAUGACAAUAAAUCUUUUCCUACAUCCUCCGAGGAGGUCGNAGGCUUAUCCGGUAUUAACAUCCCUUUCGAAAUGUUAUCCCANACCAUAGGGNAGGUUAUCCACGUGUUACUCACCCGNGCGCCACUCUACUGNAGANACNAAGAUNUUUUNUCGUUCNACCUUGCAUGUGGUAGGCCGAAGGGCGAAUUUGUUUAAACCUGNAGGACUAGU